Molecule: unclassified non-coding RNA, 343 nt
Filed under: soil metagenome
Description: partial contains 5.8S ribosomal RNA, internal transcribed spacer 2, and large subunit ribosomal RNA
Rfam family: 5.8S ribosomal RNA (bases 1-120)
Source: RNAcentral
GAUGAAGAACGCAGCGAAAUGCGAUAAGUAAUGUGAAUUGCAGAAUUCAGUGAAUCAUCGAAUCUUUGAACGCACAUUGCGCCCGCUAGUAUUCUGGCGGGCAUGCCUGUCCGAGCGUCAUUUCAACCCUCAAGCCCCCGGGCUUGGUGUUGGGGAUCGGCGAGCCUCCGCGCCCGCCGUCCCCUAAAUCUAGUGGCGGUCUCGCUGUAGCUUCCUCUGCGUAGUAGCACACCUCGCACUGGGNNNNAGCGCGGCCACGCCGUUAAACCCCCAACUUCUGAACGUUUGACCUCGGAUCAGGUAGGAAUACCCGCUGAACUUAAGCAUAUCAAUAAGCGGAGGA